RNAcentral lists this ribosomal RNA (556 nucleotides) under Streptomyces violaceorubidus. RNAcentral describes it as "bacterial SSU rRNA". It matches the Rfam family "Bacterial small subunit ribosomal RNA", at positions 243 to 811 of the family's 1533-position model. Lineage: Bacteria; Bacillati; Actinomycetota; Actinomycetes; Kitasatosporales; Streptomycetaceae. The record is from RNAcentral.
AGCUUGUUGGUGAGGUAAUGGCUCACCAAGGCGACGACGGGUAGCCGGUCUGAGAGGGCGACCGGCCACACUGGGACUGAGACACGGCCCAGACUCCUACGGGAGGCAGCAGUGGGGAAUAUUGCACAAUGGGCGAAAGCCUGAUGCAGCGACGCCGCGUGAGGGAUGACGGCCUUCGGGUUGUAAACCUCUUUCAGCAGGGAAGAUGCGAAAGUGACGGUACCUGCAGAAGAAGCGCCGGCUAACUACGUGCCAGCAGCCGCGGUAAUACGUAGGGCGCAAGCGUUGUCCGGAAUUAUUGGGCGUAAAGAGCUCGUAGGCGGCUUGUCACGUCGGUUGUGAAAGCCCGGGGCUUAACCCCGGGUCUGCAGUCGAUACGGGCAGGCUAGAGUUCGGUAGGGGAGAUCGGAAUUCCUGGUGUAGAGGUGAAAUGCGCAGAUAUCAGGAGGAACACCGGUGGCGAAGGCGGAUCUCUGGGCCGAUACUGACGCUGAGGAGCGAAAGCGUGGGGAGCGAACAGGAUUAGAUACCCUGGUAGUCCACGCCGUAAACGAUG